AACGAACGCUGGCGGCAUGCCUAACACAUGCAAGUCGAACGAGACCUUCGGGUCUAGUGGCGCACGGGUGCGUAACGCGUGGGAACCUGCCCUUAGGUUCGGAAUAACUCCCCGAAAGGGGUGCUAAUACCGGAUAAUGUCUUCGGACCAAAGAUUUAUCGCCUUUGGAUGGGCCCGCGUUGGAUUAGCUAGUUGGUAGGGUAAAAGCCUACCAAGGCGACGAUCCAUAGCUGGUCUGAGAGGAUGAUCAGCUACACUGGGACUGAGACACGGCCCAGACUCCUACGGGAGGCAGCAGUGGGGAAUAUUGGACAAUGGGCGAAAGCCUGAUCCAGCAAUGCCGCGUGAGUGAUGAAGGCCUUAGGGUUGUAAAGCCCUUUUACCCGGGAUGAUAAUGACAGUACCGGGAGAAUAAGCUCCGGCUAACUCCGUG
This 433-nucleotide ribosomal RNA is filed under the name uncultured bacterium. Its description in RNAcentral is "partial 16S ribosomal RNA". It matches the Rfam family "Bacterial small subunit ribosomal RNA", at positions 29 to 507 of the family's 1533-position model. The record is from RNAcentral.